CCUCGGGGGCGGGGCCGCCGGAAGUUGGGCGUUGCCUCGUCGCGCGAGUCGGUUGCUCGCGGACCCGGCCUUGGAGACGCAGGUUCGGAGCCCUGAGAUUUGAAUGGCGUCGCGCCGUGGACUUUUGUUGAGAGAAUCAGCCUCCAACCCACAACAUCGUGGUGAAUGGGAAAGAAUGUGUAAACUUUGCCUCCUUUAAUUUUCUCGGGUUGCUGGCCAACCCCCGGGUGAAGGGAUCCUUGGAAGCCCAUAUUCACCUCAAUGGAGGCUGCCAGCAUGCUGAGUUCUCCAGGCCCUCCCAGCUCAGUCAGGAGGGCAAAGCAGUAUUACCCUGUCCUAUGUCUGCCUUCAAUGCCAGAACGGUGGUCAGCAUGACACUGUCAACUUUCCAGGAGGGCAGCAGCUACAGAGACCCCUGGUCAUUUGCCAUUCCUUCUGGUCCACUGGAUAUACAGGACCCAUCUGACUGUGGGCAGGGGCCGAAUAUUUGGUAUGGAGACGAUUUUAUAAUACCACAACCAAUCAAGUACAAAGUGUGGACUGCAGUUCCAAUGGAUACAAGCACAAAACAAUUCCCUCACCUUAUGUUGAAGAUGCCAAAAGGAGGAACCCCCAGCCCUCUGAGAACAGCUACUCCCAUCACCAGCAAGGGUCACUAUGACCUAGAAGAAAGCAGAGUGGUGUGCCAUAUUAGUUGUGGCCAUCAUGCCAUCCCCAGAGGUGACAGUCAUUCAAUGAAGAACAGCUUUCAGCGCGUGGCUUCUGUCUGCACUAAGCUGGGCACAAGGCAAGGUCAGCAUUUGGUUGUCCUUGAAGCAGCUUCUAGAAGUGAAGGGCACAGAGACAUGACAGUGGCACUGAGACUCAUGCUCACCCCACAUCCCUAGCUGCAGCUAAGGCUUGCCAUCCCAGCAUCAGAGAAACCGUCGUAGAAAACCUUCACAUAUGUGGAGAUGCACUAAUCUGCCAGCGACCCCCCACCACUGGGUCUUGCUCAACCUGCCCCUCUGGUUUUGUCCUACAUUUGUGCCUGUGAAGGUAUGGCUGUGCAGAGGCACAAGAAGGCCCAAUAGCUCACAUGCCACAAGGAGGGUUCAGGAAUGUUGGGGUGUGGUGGUCUUCAGCUAAAAUUUGGAAGACUCCUGCAUCUAGUCUCCUGAGGGAAAUGAAUCCCCAGGAGCAAAGCCCAUGCUCUCCCUGCUGGAGCCAGUAGAAGCCACAGAGUCUCCCACCAUGAGAAGGCCACAGUCACCGUUUUCCUAACUUAUGUGCAUGUGUGUGCCUGUUUGUUUAUAUGUGCACAGCACAGCUGCAUUGUCUGUGGAGGCUUCAGAUCCCUGCAACUGGAGUUACGGGCAGCUGUGCACCACUUGAUGUGAGCACCGGGAACCAAACCCAGGUCCUCAGCUAGUGUUCCUAACUGAUGAGCUUUCUCCCCAGCUCCUCCACAUUUCUCUUUAGAAACUGAUAGAGCCCACCCAAGGUUCCCCUUAGACACGCCCUCCAGACCUUCACAUACCCCACAGAGACCCCUAGACACUCCCCCAUGGACAUUUAGGGACAUCCACACAGAGAACCCCAAAGUUCCCUCUCAGACCCUCUCUUCCAGACCUUCAAGCGCCCUCCAUAGAGACUUCUGGCCAACACAGAAACACAUGUAAUAACACCCUCAACACCAGCAAUAGCACGUGAGCUCCAGAGCCCACAGAGAUCUCACAGAAACCCUUACAUUCUCAUGUCAUCAUGCCAGCCACACUACACAAAGACUGGAAUAUGCUAACAUGUCGUCCAGGAAAGGUGGCCUACUAGGCCUCUUGAUUCUGACUUCACCUGGCUCCAGCCAUUUGCUGUCAUCUGCGGUGAUGACGCCAAAGCACCUGCUCCCUUAGCUCAGGACCUGGACUCCCCACCACCUGUUCAUUGAAGCCUUAACGAUCUUUACCAUUCCUCAGCAAUGGUCACAUGACCCCAAGAUGACUCUCAACUUGGGGAUCCUUCUGAAGCUUUGGAAUAAGCACCCCACACACUACCCUUCUAUUCCUGGGGUAACCAGCUGAACAUUUCACACAUCAUUUUCACUAUCAUGGAAGCUCAGAGGGAAGCAUGCUCAGGUUUUGUAUACCAUGGUCCCUGGAGUGAGGCAAACUUUAGUGGUUUCCCUUGCUUCAGCUAUAAAACAGGGCAGCGGGUGAGUGUUAAUACUGCAUGAAGGGAAAUGAGUUGCAAGACUGAAACACUAUGGUAGCCUUCUGGAUCAUUUUCCUAUCAUUCUUUUUUUGUGUGUGUGUGCAUUGUCACUGAUGUGAUUUUCACUGCUAAACCAUACACAAUAAAGUUUUUCCAAUAAAAUCAAACAAUGUCAUUUUAGCACAAAAGUUAGCAUUUGUAUCUAUUAGAAAGUCACAGUACACACAAUAAAAUAAUCUGCAUAAUCUUUCAGGUCAUUUUUUUCCACGUCACUUCCUGGCACAUGGCACGCACAGGGCUUACCUAACUUCCUCUGAUGGUAAAGGUCUCGUCCACAAUCCCAAAGCAUUUGCAGCUUUGACCUUGAAAACAUGGGCCUUACGGGGUUUGGCCCUUCCAAGC
RNAcentral lists this long non-coding RNA (2589 nucleotides) under Cricetulus griseus (Chinese hamster). RNAcentral describes it as "lncRNA (ENSCGRG00015019157.2)". The record is from RNAcentral. Lineage: Eukaryota; Metazoa; Chordata; Mammalia; Rodentia; Cricetidae.